This 327-nucleotide ribosomal RNA is filed under the name Triticum aestivum (bread wheat). Its description in RNAcentral is "partial small subunit ribosomal RNA". Lineage: Eukaryota; Viridiplantae; Streptophyta; Magnoliopsida; Poales; Poaceae. The record is from RNAcentral.
AUGGCUGGUGGCGGGGACACGCCGGGCAGACUGGAGAGCAUCCUGACGGACACAUCGGCGCCACGGGCGGAGCGUGCGUGGGCGGCGGGGGCGGUCGAGCUGCGGCUGCUGUCACGGCUUGCGGCGCCGGCGGUGGUGGUGUACAUGAUCAACUACGUCAUGUCCAUGUCCACGCAAAUCUUCUCCGGCCACCUGGGGAACCUGGAGCUCGCCGCCGCCUCGCUCGGCAACACCGGAGUCCAGACCUUCGCCUAUGGCCUCAUGGUACCUACGCACGCUCUCCUGCAUCUCAGCUCUAAUUCAUUUGUCAUGUGUACCUUUACUUGA